AGCCCCGCUCGCCAAGCUCGGAAUCCGGAUCAGCUGGAGGGACCCAAAGCCUUCGGCUUCGCCCUCCCCCAGUAGCUUGGACCACAUCCUAGAGACCAAACUCUGAGCCUCGACUUCCACACAUAAAUUGGGAAAGACAACAGUCCCUACUGUGGAAGUUGCUGAGAAAAUACCAGACGCAGUGUGAGCGUUCAUGAUGGAGCCGGCCUCCUCCCAUAAAGCCGGCCUCAGGGACUUUGUGCAGCAGAGCAAUGCCUCCAGUCAGGCUCUACCUCACCAGUCUCCCCAGCAGUUUGAUACUCAUGGAACUGAGGCUCAAAGGAGGGACUUCUGACGAUCUCAGAAUUCCACCUGGGCAGGUCGGAGAGUUCACAGCCCCUCGUCACUCGGAGGAAGGGAAUGCAGAGGAGCAAGGAUGCAGGUUCCUGAGACCAUACAGAGAGGCCUUCCCUGGGCGGUUUCCAGACCAAGAAGCCCACGCCCUUCCCCGGGAGCCAAGCCAAGAAGGUCCUGGGACUGAGGGCCCCAUAUGCCGCUCAUUUUCCAACCCCUCUGGGCAGGGCUGCCUCCGCUCCAUGCCUCAGAGAGAUCUUUGCAAUGAUGGAUAAGCCGUGGCCCCGACGGCCCUGGCCCUGGGGAGGAAAAAAAACAUCUUUUGCAGUUUCGUGUAAAGCCUCCCACUUUUCGCUUAAUAAGUGCUGAAAGAGGCACAAACAGAGGGACCCCGAGCUUGCCAUGACUAACAAGAUGACCACAUCAGGCAGAGCCGAGCUGGGGGAGAGGACCGCGCCGGCCGGCCGCCCGGCUUCCCGGCGCGGAGGUGUCCGAUUCCCGAUUCCCUCCCGGGACGCUCCGCCAACAGUGCUUUGAAGCCAUGCCUAGGAGCCCGGAGCAGGGAGGCACGGAGCGAAGUGGGGAAAGGGCUGGUCCUCCCUCCCGCCUCCCGCAGGAUGGGCACAGAUCGCCCAAGAUAAAGGAACCGCAGCCUCCUCCAACUUGUGCUGAGUCGCUCUUUUCAAAAGCCCUUUCAGAUGGUUUCACUUCUCCGCGCGCGCUUUGUUGAAAGAUGUAAAAAUUUCAAACCACCACAGAGUAAACAUUUCAAAACUCGCUCUUUGCAAAAAUCAGUCACAUUUUCCCAAAAAAAAAAAAAAAAAAAAAUCUUGAAUUCCAUCUCUCCACGCACCACCACUCCCCCCGUCUCCCCCGCCCCCUCAAUCCCUUUUUCUGCGCUCUUUGGAUUCGAGUGUUUUUCAUUAAUUUAGAAGCAGUCCAGGUAAAGCUGGUGUUUGCGAGCUGGUGUUUUACGGGCGGGAAGUAGCUUUGUUAUUUAGGAGAUGUUUUAGAUAAGUCAAUGUCUUGUCAAAAUCAAGCAGGUUUUCUUUAUUAGGGUGAAAUCGUAAUGAACUCAUCUGCUUCUAAUAUUUAUAAAGAGAAGAGAGGCCAUUAAUUCUACUGCUUGUGAAUAAAACCAUCUGUGAUUUCUUUCCAUUUGAUGGGUUUUGGUUUUAAUAUACAUUUUUCACAAAUAAGCGCAGAGAUUUUUUGGUGAAAAUGUCACAUUCAGGAUCUCAUAAAGAAAGAAUGCAAAGAGAGGAAAACGAAAUGUUUUGUUAGCUAAGUAAUUUCUCACCUUGCAGAGUGGGGAACAUUUGAGCCAACUUUAGCACAUUUGGGUGAUGGAAUCGCCCGUUCAACGCUAAUGCAAUCCAUGACAUGUUACAAGGCGAACCGCGUCCGUUUUGAAGUUUGUUUUCCUUCGGGAAUUACACAGUUCAUUUAACCUAAUCUGUCCUGACACUUGAAUUAUAAUAUCAUGAGCUUCUUCAGGGAAGUAAAACAGUAGUUGCCUGCUUAAAAGCAAAGCAGAAGUUAAUAAAGCGGGCAAAAUGUCAAGGAAAAGGAGCUAAUCGAAUCGCAGUGUCAUUCUCUAGAGAAAAUACAGUCAAGUUGUAUUUUUUUUCCAG
This is a long non-coding RNA of Bos taurus (domestic cattle), 1967 nucleotides long. Lineage: Eukaryota; Metazoa; Chordata; Mammalia; Artiodactyla; Bovidae. The record is from Ensembl.